GCGAAACUGCGAAUGGCUCAUUAAAUCAGUUAUCGUUUAUUUGAUAGUACCUUACUACUUGGAUAACCGUGGUAAUUCUAGAGCUAAUACAUGCUAAAAACCCCGACUUACGAAGGGGUGUAUUUAUUAGAUUAAAAACCAAUGCCCUUCGGGGCUCUUUGGUGAUUCAUAAUAACUUUUCGAAUCGCAUGGCCUUGCGCCGGCGAUGGUUCAUUCAAAUUUCUGCCCUAUCAACUUUCGAUGGCAGGGUCUUGGCCUGCCAUGGUUACAACGGGUAACGGAGGGUUAGGGCUCGACCCCGGAGAAGGAGCCUGAGAAACGGCUACUACAUCCAAGGAAGGCAGCAGGCGCGCAAAUUACCCAAUCCCGAUUCGGGGAGGUAGUGACAAUAAAUACUGAUACAGGGCUCUUUUGGGUCUUGUAAUUGGAAUGAGUACAAUUUAAAUCCCUUAACGAGGAACAAUUGGAGGGCAAGUCUGGUGCCAGCAGCCGCGGUAAUUCCAGCUCCAAUAGCGUAUAUUAAAGUUGUUGCAGUUAAAAAGCUCGUAGUUGAACCUUGGGCCUGGCUGGCCGGUCCGCCUCACCGCGUGCACUGGUUCGGCCGGGCCUUUCCCUCUGGGGAACCCUAUGGUCUUCACUGAUCGUAGCGGGGAACCAGGACUUUUACUGUGAAAAAAUUAGAGUGUUCAAAGCAGGCAUAUGCUCGAAUACAUUAGCAUGGAAUAAUAAAAUAGGACGUGUGGUUCUAUUUUGUUGGUUUCUAGGACCGCCGUAAUGAUUAAUAGGGACAGUCGGGGGCAUCAGUAUUCAAUUGUCAGAGGUGAAAUUCUUGGAUUUAUUGAAGACUAACUACUGCGAAAGCAUUUGCCAAGGAUGUUUUCAUUAAUCAGGAACGAAAGUUAGGGGAUCGAAGACGAUCAGAUACCGUCGUAGUCUUAACCAUAAACUAUGCCGACUAGGGAUCGGACGGUGUUAUUUUUUGACCCGUUCGGCACCUUACGAGAAAUCAAA
Molecule: ribosomal RNA, 1011 nt
Filed under: Discosia sp. 3 KT-2010
Lineage: Eukaryota; Fungi; Ascomycota; Sordariomycetes; Amphisphaeriales; Sporocadaceae
Description: SSU rRNA
Rfam family: Eukaryotic small subunit ribosomal RNA
Source: RNAcentral